CACACCGCCCGUCACAUCACGAAAGCCCGUUGUACUAGAAGCCGGUGAUUCAACCGCAAGGAGAUAGCCGUCCAAGGUAUGACUGGUGAUUGGGUGAAGUCGUAACAAGGUACCC
Molecule: ribosomal RNA, 115 nt
Filed under: uncultured bacterium
Lineage: Bacteria
Description: partial 16S ribosomal RNA
Rfam family: Bacterial small subunit ribosomal RNA
Source: RNAcentral